GAAGAACCACUUUAAUGCUGAAAGGGUUCUUUGUGUCAGAGUUUAGGGUUCUGAAUUCCAGCCCUUUUGUUUUUCAAAUUUUUAACUGGCAAAGAACUUUAUUACUUAGUUUCUGGAGUUCAAUGAUCCAACUAAAGACUGUCAACACACUCUCAACAGUGUGAGCAGCUCUGGCUGAGGACACUCCUGUUCUCCACUAAGUUAAGCCUACUGAUAUUCUGUAGUUAACCAACUACACAGACUGUCAACACAUUCUCAACAG
This is a long non-coding RNA of Carassius carassius (crucian carp), 262 nucleotides long. RefSeq lists it as uncharacterized. The record is from RefSeq and is a predicted model, not a curated record. Lineage: Eukaryota; Metazoa; Chordata; Actinopteri; Cypriniformes; Cyprinidae. The transcript has 3 exons.